ACACGUCCCUAGCAGGGGAGAUACCAUGGUUAUGAAAGUGGUUUUCUUAAGAUGAAGCUCAUUUAUUGAACUCAGGAUGUGCUGUCCCCUGUGAUUUCCUCAAAUAUGGAAAACUUGACUGCAUAAUUUGUGGAAAUAUGUGUUCUUUUCCCCAAA
Apodemus sylvaticus (European woodmouse) is the source of this 156-nucleotide small nuclear RNA. RefSeq annotates it as U1 spliceosomal RNA. NCBI's taxonomy places the organism in Eukaryota, Metazoa, Chordata, Mammalia, Rodentia, Muridae. The transcript has a single exon. The record is from RefSeq and is a predicted model, not a curated record.